RNAcentral lists this transfer RNA (69 nucleotides) under Neosynchiropus moyeri (Moyer's dragonet). RNAcentral describes it as "tRNA-Arg". It matches the Rfam family "tRNA". Rfam says of the family: Transfer RNA (tRNA) molecules are approximately 80 nucleotides in length. Their secondary structure includes four short double-helical elements and three loops (D, anti-codon, and T loops). Further hydrogen bonds mediate the characteristic L-shaped molecular structure. tRNAs have two regions of fundamental functional importance: the anti-codon, which is responsible for specific mRNA codon recognition, and the 3' end, to which the tRNAs corresponding amino acid is attached (by aminoacyl-tRNA synthetases). tRNAs cope with the degeneracy of the genetic code in two manners: having more than one tRNA (with a specific anti-codon) for a particular amino acid; and 'wobble' base-pairing, i.e. permitting non-standard base-pairing at the 3rd anti-codon position. Lineage: Eukaryota; Metazoa; Chordata; Actinopteri; Syngnathiformes; Callionymidae. The record is from RNAcentral.
AGAUUAUUAGUUUAAAUAAAACAUUUGAUUUCGGCUCAAAAGAACGUGGUUAAAAUCCACUAUAAUCUA